UGGAUCUUUAUCCAGGUGGUCUGGCUAU
This 28-nucleotide non-coding RNA is filed under the name Mus musculus (house mouse). The record is from RNAcentral. Lineage: Eukaryota; Metazoa; Chordata; Mammalia; Rodentia; Muridae.